CAGCCCGCUACUGACGUUGAGGCUCGAAGGUGCGGGUAUCGAACAGGAUUAGAUACCCUGGUAGCCCGCACGGUAAACGAUGGACACCCGCCGUGGGCGACAUACAGUCCGCGGCCAAGCGAAAGCGUUAAGUGUCCCGCCUGGGGAGUACGCCGGCAACGGUGAAACUCAAAGGAAUUGACGGGGGCCCGCACAAGCGGAGGAACAUGUGGUUUAAUUCGAUGAUACGCGAGGAACCUUACCCGGGCUCGAACCUCCCCCGAAUCCGGCGGAGACGCCGGAGCCAGCAAUGGCGGGGGCGGAGGUGCUGCAUGGUUGUCGUCGGCUCGUGCCGUGAGGUGUCGGCUUAAGUGCCAUAACGAGCGCAACCCCUCCCUCCAGUUGCCAUCGGGUAAUGCCGGGGACUCUGGAGGCACUGCCAUCGCAAGAUGCGAGGAAGGCGGGGAUGACGUCAAAUCAGCACGGCCCUUACGUCCGGGGCUACACACGUGUUACAAUGGGGGGUACAGAGGGCCGCUGCACGGCGACGUGCGGCCAAUCCCUAAAUCCCCUCCCAGUUCGGACCGGAGUCUGGAACCCGACUCCGCGAAGCUGGAUUCGCUAGUAAUCGCGCAUCAGCCAUGGCGCGGUGAAUACGUUCCCGGGCCUUGUACACACCGCCGUCAAGCCAUG
Molecule: ribosomal RNA, 672 nt
Filed under: uncultured bacterium
Lineage: Bacteria
Description: bacterial SSU rRNA
Rfam family: Bacterial small subunit ribosomal RNA
Source: RNAcentral